Molecule: long non-coding RNA, 5420 nt
Organism: Anolis carolinensis (green anole)
Lineage: Eukaryota; Metazoa; Chordata; Lepidosauria; Squamata; Anolidae
Exons: 2
Source: RefSeq, a predicted model, not a curated record
GGAGUUGUUAAACUUAGCAACAAUGAAUUUCUAUCUAAAACAAAACAUAGAGUAACACUCCCAUUAGUACACCGAAGAGCACCCUGAGAGGCCAUUAUCCUUGUGGUCACUGUAAGUGUUGUCCUCAAUCUUGGAAGACUAAGGAGAUAUAUAAUCAUAGGAACAAAGUGGGCACCACACUAAAACAUUUUUCUACUUGUAAUAGCAGCAAUGUAAUCUACCUCUUGACAUGUGACUGUGAUCUCUGGUAUAUCGGAAAAACAACCAGAUCCUUGAGAAUCAGAAUCUCUGAACAUAAUCCAGAAUCAAAAAUUUAUCUACAGAAUCCCUUUUUAUAUUCACACUUCACCCAAUAUAAACAUUCAUCUACCUCAUUUAAAUUUUGUGCUCUGGAAUGCAUCUCUCAAAAACCUUUCAUGGACUUGGAAAAACUAUUAUCCCAAAGGGAAAUGUACUGGAUCUUUAAGUUUAAAACCUUUUCCCCUCAGGGACUUAAUGAAUCACUUAAUUUUAGCUGUUUCCUUUAAACCUUCAAGUACUCUUUAAAAACCUUUGAAUGAACCUCCAGAAUUACUCGCAGUUGAAAUCACCACAAGCAGAGUCACUCAGUGAAAGCAUUUAGCACUAUAUAGAAAUUCAUUGUUGCUGAGUUUAACAACUCCUGAAGAAGGGGUUUUUCCCUGAAACAGGGUCAAAAAUACCCGGGACCCCUGUAGACUUGGGACUUUAUUUGGACUUUGCUUUUGAAGACUUUUUUUGAGAGCGGUGCUCCAGCAUUAUUUUCUUCAAUCCAGUAUACAGCAACACGACCAACCAUCUGUUUGGAAGAUAUUUUCAUUGACUGUAUCCCUGAAGCCUAUAUGUAUUGGAACCAAUACCAGACUUGAACAACUUUUGUGUUAGAGCUGUUGCUCCUUUUCAUUUUGUCGGGUACGGUCAAAUUGACCCAAAUAUAAACCAACCAGGAUACUCACCCGAGUAUAAGCCGAGGGGGGCUUUUUUAGUCCUGAAAAACUAGGCUUAUACUCGAGUAUAUAUAAUAAUUAUGAAGUGUGUGAUUUCUAUUAGAAAGAAGUUUAUAUUUUGAUUUAAUUCUGCAUAAACUAUAUACAGUAGAGUCUCACUUAUCCAACAUAAACGGGUUGGCAGAAUGUUGGAUAAGCAAAUAUGUUGGAUAAUAAGGAGGCAUUAAGGAAAAGCCUAUUAAACAUCAAAUCAGGUUAUGAUUUUAAAAAUUAAGCACCAAAACAUCAUGUUGUACAACAAAUUUUACAGAAAAAGUAGUCCAAUACGCAGUCAUGCUAUGUAGUAAUUACUGUAUUUACGAAUUUAGCACCAAAAUAUCACGAUGUAUUGAAAACAUUGACUACAAAAAUGCAUUGGAUAAACCAGAACGUUGGAUAAGUGAGACUCCACUGUAUUAAUAAUAAUAAAUAUAGAGUAAAAUAAAUGUAAUAGUAGCAACAAUAAUAGAGAAAAAUAAUAAAUGUACCAUAUAUUCUCGAGUAUAAGCUGACCCAAAUAUAAGCCAACCAGGACCCUCACCCGAAUAUAAGCCGAGGGGGGCUUUUUUAGUCCUAAAAAAAGGGCUGAAAAACUAGGCUUAUACUCGAGUAUAUACAGUAAUUAUGAAGUGUGUGAUUUCUAUUAGAAAGAAGUUUAUAUUUUGCUUUAAUUCUGCAUAAACUAUAUAUAUAUAUUCUCAAUUUUUUCGAAUUGGUUUCAAGUAUUUGGAUGCCUACCUGUACUUGUUUUUUUCCUAGGCUAUAGAGCCUUAAACAUUGCAACUAGUCUUCAUAAGUUAAUUCUUCCAUUUCUAUUAUCAUUUUGUUUGCCCUUUUCACACAUUUUCUAUAUCUGCAAUAUUUUAAAAGUGCAAUGACCAGAACUUUACACACAUGCUCACAUUGUGGAUUUGUAUACAGGCAAUACGAUGUUGGCAGUGUUAUCACUGAUUUCUUUUCUAAUGAUGCCAAAUUUACAAUGUGCCCUUUUUCUUUUGCUGCAGUCACACAGUAGGUGACAUUUUCAAAGGGAUCUCACCCAUGAAUCCAGAAUUCCUUAGUCUGUUGCUGCCAGUUCAGAUCCCAUCAGGAUACACAUAAAAUUGGGAUAUGUUUUAAUACCAAUAUGAAUCACUUUACACUUUUUGCUUUAUUUUCAUUUAUUUUUAAAGCCCAUUCCCCAGUUAUUUGUGUUGUUUAUCCUAAUAUGUUUUAUGUUUUUUAUAUUGUCUGCCAUCCUGAGAUCUCAUGAUAACGAAUGGAAUAUAAAUAUUGAUAUAAACAAACAUAUAUAAAUAUAAAUACAGUAAAGUCUCACUUAUCCAACACUCGCUUAUCCAAUGUUCUGGAUUAUCCAAUGCAUUUUUGGAGUCAAUGUUUUCAAUAUAUCGUGAUAUUUUGGUGCUAAAUUCAUAAAUACAGUAAUUACUACAUAGCAUUACUGCAUAUUGAACUACUUUUUUUGCCAAAUUUGUUUUCUAACAUGAUGUUUUGGUGCUUAAUUUGUAAAAUCAUAACCUAAUUUGAUGUUUAAUAGGCUUUUCCUUAAUCUCUCCUUAUUAUCCAACAUAUUCGCUUAUCCAACAUUCUGCCGGCCAGUUUAUGUUGGAUAAGUGAGACUCUACUGUAUUGAUAUAAAAAACUGGAGCCUCUGGUGGCGCAGUGUGUUAAAGCCCUGAGCUGCUGAACUUGCAGAGACCCCUUGGGACAUUUAGUCCAAUCCCCUUCUGCCUUUGUGCACCAAAAGCACAAGCAAAGCACCCCUGACAGAUGGCCACCCAGCCUCAAUGUUAAUAAUAAUAAUAAUAAUAAUAAUAAUAAUAAUAAUAAUAAUAAUAAAAUUACGAUCUGCCAACUGCAAAAGGCCACCCUACUGGGAUCUGCACGCAUCAUCCGAAAAUACAUCACACAGUCCUAAACACUUGGGAAGUGUUCGACUUGUGAUUUUGUGAUACGAAAUCCAGCAUAUCUAUCUUGUUUGCUGUGACAUAAUGAAAUAAUAAUAAUAAUAACAAUAAUAAUAAUAAUAAUAAUAAAGAGGGUUGGAAGAGACCCCUUGGGACAUUUAGUCCAAUCCCCUUCUGCCUUUGUGCACCAAAAGCACGAGCAAAGCACCCCUGACAGAUGGCCACCCAGCCUCAAUGUUAAUAAUAAUAAUAAUUAAUAAUAAUAAUAAUAAUAAUAAAGAGGGUUGGAAGAGACCCCUUGGGACAUUUAGUCCAAUCCCCUUCUGCCUUUGUGCACCAAAAGCACGAGCAAAGCACCCCUGACAGAUGGCCACCCAGCCUCAAUGUUAAUAAUAAUAAUAAUUAAUAAUAAUAAUAAUAAUAAUAAUAAUAAUAAUAAAAUGUUUACAUCACACAGUCCUAGACACUUGGGGAGUGUUCGACUUGUGAUUUUGUGAUAUGAAAUCCAGCAUAUCUAUCUUGUUUUCUGUGUAAUAAUAAUAAUAAUAAUAAUAAUAAUAAUAAUAAUAAUAAGGGUUGGAAGAGAAGAAGAGACCCCUUGGGUCAUUUAGCCCAACCCCCUUUUGCCCUUGUGCCGUUGGGGCCGGAUAAAUGGAUUCUAUGGGCCGCAUCCGGCCCGCGGGCCAUAGUUUGGGGACCCCUGUCAUAGACUCUGGGGGAAGAUUCAAGUGGGCCGGCCAUUUGUUCUUCGGGGCAGCUCGCCCGCUAUAAUUGAUCUUUCCACCAUUGAGAAGCUUCCAAGGUCCCUAGGGUUACUUGGGAUAUGGUUGGUAAUGUUCUGCCUUAGUGAAGGGCUUUUUGAUCAAACCAGAAAUCACAAAUCAGCCGUGUCAGCCAUUUUAAAGACAUCCAAACACACUUGACUUGAUGACUGCAGUCAUAAUAAGUAGUAUCUUUGUAAUGAGAAAAUCCGUGUUUCAAAUCCCUGGAUAUACACUGAUGCCAAAUCUAAUGAUAUCAAUCCCUUCACUUUUCAAAGUAGUGCUUAUUAAAAAGGGGAGGGGGCCCUGCGGACUGAAACCAAAUCCAAUUGGAGUUUGUCUGGUGGGGAAAAGACCGUGGAGCAAAUGUAAGAUUAGCUUGUGUGGGGAAUCAUGGGUGGUCAUGCGAUGUACAAUAAACGUGACAGCGGAACAGUCAUAGAGUUCUUCAAUCUUAAUCUUCAACCGUAAGAAAGUCAAACUUUCGUUCCCACCAUCCUGGUUAUACUUUGGUCAAUCUUGACUGUUAUUUAUUUGUUUGUUUGUUUAAAAAGGUAAAGGUAAAGGUAAAGGUUUCCCCUGACGUUAAGUCAUGUCUGACUCUGGGGGUUGGUGCUCAUCUCCAUUUCUAAGCCCAAGAGCCGGCGUUGUCCGUAGACACCUCCAAGGUCAUUUAAUUAAUUAAUUUAUUUACAGUAUUUACAUUCCGCCCUUCUCACCCCGAAGGGGACUCAGGGCGGAUCACAUUACACAUAUAAGGCAUACAUUCAAUGCCUUAACAUAGAACAAAGACAAAACAAACACGGGGCUCCGAGUGGGCCUCGAACUCAUGACCUCCUGGUCAGAGUGAUUAAUUGCAGCUGGCUGCAGCUGGUUGCUCAACUGCCUGCGCCACAGCCCGGCCGGCAUGUGGCCAGCAUGACUGCAUGGAGCGCCAUUACUUUCCCACCAGAGCGGUACCUAUUGAUCUACUCACAUUGGCAUGUUUUCGAACUGCUAGGUUGGCAGAAGCUGGAGCUAACAGCAGGUGCUCAUUCCUCUCCCGGGAUUUGAAACUGGGACCUUUCGGUCCACAAGUUCAGCAGCUCAGCGCUUUAACACACUGUGCCACCAGGGGCCCCUAUUUACAUGGUAUUAUAAUAAUACAGUAGAGUCUCACUUAUCCAACGUAAACGGGCCGGCAGAACGUUGGAUAAGCAAAUAUGUUGGAUAAUAAGGAGAGAUUAAGGAAAAGCCUAUUAAACAUCAAAUUAGGUUAUGAUUUUACAAAUUAAGCACCAAAACAUCAUGUUAGACAACAAAUUUGACAGAAAAAGUAGUUCAAUACACAGUAAUGCUAUGUAGUAAUCACUGUAUUUACGAAUUUAGCACCAAAAUAUCACGAGGUAUUAAAAACAUUGACUGCAAAAAUGUGUUGGAUAAUCCAGAACGUUGGAUAAGCGAGUGUUGGAUAAGUGAGACUCUGAUGUAUUUACAUAAUAUUUAAAUAUGUAAAUAAUAUAAUAUUUACCACGUGGUUGACUGUGCUGGGGAUGCUUUUAACUGAUAGUGGUUUUUUUAUAUCCAAUGUGUUCCCUGCUUGGGUUUUAAUAAUGCUGUACUUACUUGGUUUUAUCUUGUUUUUAAUUAUGUUGGUGCUAAUCCAUGACAUAUGUAGUAUUUGAAGGGCAUAUCCUGACCUUGAUAUUUGCAGCAUUUUAAUGUUUUAAUGAUUUAUAUAGGGUUUUAAUAGCAUGUUUUAUAUUGUA